GACGAACGCUGGCGGCGUGCCUAAUACAUGCAAGUCGAACGCUUCUUUCCUCCCGAGUGCUUGCACUCAAUUGGAAAGAGGAGUGGCGGACGGGUGAGUAACACGUGGGUAACCUACCCAUCAGAGGGGGAUAACACUUGGAAACAGGUGCUAAUACCGCAUAACAGUUUAUGCCGCAUGGCAUAAGAGUGAAAGGCGCUUUCGGGUGUCGCUGAUGGAUGGACCCGCGGUGCAUUAGCUAGUUGGUGAGGUAACGGCUCACCAAGGCCACGAUGCAUAGCCGACCUGAGAGGGUGAUCGGCCACACUGGGACUGAGACACGGCCCAGACUCCUACGGGAGGCAGCAGUAGGGAAUCUUCGGCAAUGGACGAAAGUCUGACCGAGCAACGCCGCGUGAGUGAAGAAGGUUUUCGGAUCGUAAAACUCUGUUGUUAGAGAAGAACAAGGACGUUAGUAACUGAACGUCCCUGACGGUAUCUAACCAGAAAGCCACGGCUAACUACGUG
This 507-nucleotide ribosomal RNA is filed under the name uncultured bacterium. RNAcentral describes it as "partial 16S ribosomal RNA". It matches the Rfam family "Bacterial small subunit ribosomal RNA", at positions 28 to 507 of the family's 1533-position model. The record is from RNAcentral.